Molecule: ribosomal RNA, 948 nt
Filed under: Inocybe strobilomyces
Lineage: Eukaryota; Fungi; Basidiomycota; Agaricomycetes; Agaricales; Inocybaceae
Description: partial large subunit ribosomal RNA
Rfam family: Eukaryotic large subunit ribosomal RNA
Source: RNAcentral
UAAGCAUAUCAAUAAGCGGAGGAAAAGAAACUAACAAGGAUUCCCCUAGUAACUGCGAGUGAAGCGGGAAAAGCUCAAAUUUGAAAUCUGGCGGUCCUUGACUGUCCGAGUUGUAAUCUAGAGAAGUGUUACCUGUGCUGGACCGUGUACAAGUCUCCUGGAAUGGAGCAUCAUAGAGGGUGAGAAUCCCGUCUUUGACAUGGACUGCCUGCGCAUCAUGGUAUGCUCUCAAAGAGUCGAGUUGUUUGGGAAUGCAGCUCAAAAUGGGUGGUAAAUGCCAUCUAAAGCUAAAUAUUGGCGAGAGACCGAUAGCGAACAAGUACCGUGAGGGAAAGAUGAAAAGAACUUUGGAAAGAGAGUUAAACAGUACGUGAAAUUGCUGAAAGGGAAACGCUUGAAGUCAGUCAUGUCAGCUAGAAAUCAGCCUGCUUUUGCUUGGUGUAUUUUCUGGCUGAUGGGUCAGCAUCAAUUUUGACCAUUGGAUAAAGUCUUUGGGAAUGUGGCAUCUUUUGGAUGUGUUAUAGCCCAUUGUCGCAUACGAUGGUUGGGAUUGAGGAAUUCAGCACGCCUGCAAGGGCCGGGUUUCGACCACGUUCGUGCUUAGGAUGCUGGCAUAAUGGCUUUAAUCGACCCGUCUUGAAACACGGACCAAGGAGUCUAACAUGCCUGCGAGUGUUUGGGUGGAAAACCCAUGCGCGUAAUGAAAGUGAAAGUUGAGAUCCCUUUGAAAGAGGGGAGCAUUGACGCCCGGACCAGACCUUCUGUGACGGAUCCGCGGUAGAGCAUGUAUGUUGGGACCCGAAAGAUGGUGAACUAUGCCUGAAUAGGGUGAAGCCAGAGGAAACUCUGGUGGAGGCUCGUAGCGAUUCUGACGUGCAAAUCGAUCGUCAAAUUUGGGUAUAGGGGCGAAAGACUAAUCGAACCAUCUAGUAGCUGGUUCCUGCCGAA